This 86-nucleotide transfer RNA is filed under the name bacterium. RNAcentral's name for it is "tRNA-Ser". It matches the Rfam family "tRNA". From Rfam's summary of the family: Transfer RNA (tRNA) molecules are approximately 80 nucleotides in length. Their secondary structure includes four short double-helical elements and three loops (D, anti-codon, and T loops). The record is from RNAcentral.
GGAAGGUUGGCCGAGCGGUUGAAGGCGCACGUUUGGAGUACGUGUUUGCACUCUGUGUAACUAGGGUUCGAAUCCCUAACCUUCCG